GGGAGUAGAUAGGCAGCUGGUGUGCCUCCUGGUCUUCAAAACCUGUGUGGGGCGUUAAGAGCGUCCCGGGUGAGUUCGAUUCUCACGUGCUCCCGCCA
Molecule: transfer RNA, 98 nt
Filed under: Blautia schinkii
Lineage: Bacteria; Bacillati; Bacillota; Clostridia; Lachnospirales; Lachnospiraceae
Description: tRNA-Sec
Rfam family: Selenocysteine transfer RNA
Source: RNAcentral